This is a long non-coding RNA of Chelonia mydas (Green sea turtle), 448 nucleotides long. RefSeq lists it as uncharacterized. The transcript is spliced from 2 exons. Lineage: Eukaryota; Metazoa; Chordata; Testudines; Cheloniidae. The record is from RefSeq and is a predicted model, not a curated record.
AUACCUCAGAGCAUAAGAUAAUUUCCUACUUGGUCUGACUCAAGAAGCGGUUAAGUGCUUGUUUUUGUUUUGUUUUAAAUUGUUUUUUCCUUGUGUUUGUUCUAGAUUCCCCUUAUGCUUUGAUGGGGAGAUGCAGAAAGAGAGAAUUGCCUUCUUCGCUGUGAGCCUGAAUCUUCCAACCUUAUUCACAAUGGCUGAACAGUAGCUCACUCUACCACGCAGCUCGUUGAUUUCUAACUCCUUUUAGAAACAGGCCCAUCUGGUUGCUUUUUGGCUUCAUUGAAGUGCUACUCAGCAUUAGUAAAGAUUGAAGAAUUGAGCUCCGAAGCAUUCAGUAUUAAUCAUUGACCCAGGCAAAAUUCUAAAGCAGAGGGGAAAGCAGUCAGUGCAGCUUUCCAAACUGUAGCAGAAUGAAAACUGAUCAAAAUCUGGAUGGUGGACUGGAACA